UGGGGAAUUUUGGACAAUGGGCGCAAGCCUGAUCCAGCAAUGCCGCGUGCAGGAUGAAGGCCUUCGGGUUGUAAACUGCUUUUGUACGGAACGAAAAGGCUCUGGCUAAUACCUGGGGCACAUGACGGUACCGUAAGAAUAAGCACCGGCUAACUACGUGCCAGCAGCCGCGGUAAUACGUAGGGUGCGAGCGUUAAUCGGAAUUACUGGGCGUAAAGCGUGCGCAGGCGGUUUUGUAAGACAGAGGUGAAAUCCCCGGGCUCAACCUGGGAACUGCCUUUGUGACUGCAAGGCUGGAGUGCGGCAGAGGGGGAUGGAAUUCCGCGUGUAGCAGUGAAAUGCGUAGAUAUGCGGAGGAACACCGAUGGCGAAGGCAAUCCCCUGGGCCUGCACUGACGCUCAUGCACGAAAGCGUGGGGAGCAAACAGGAUUAGAUACCCUGGUAGUCCACGCCCUAAACGAUGUCAACUGGUUGUUGGGUCUUAAUUGACUCAGUAACGAAGCUAACGCGUGAAGUUGACCGCCUGGGGAGUACGGCCGCAAGGUUGAAACUUAAAGGAAUUGACGGAGUCAUAGCUGUUUUCCU
RNAcentral lists this ribosomal RNA (586 nucleotides) under uncultured bacterium. RNAcentral's name for it is "partial 16S ribosomal RNA". It matches the Rfam family "Bacterial small subunit ribosomal RNA", at positions 355 to 939 of the family's 1533-position model. The record is from RNAcentral.